GGGUUGUGAGGUUAAGCGACUAAGCGUACACGGUGGAUGCCCUGGCAGUCAGAGGCGAUGAAGGACGUGCUAAUCUGCGAUAAGCGUCGGUGAGGUGAUAUGAACCGUUAUAACCGGCGAUUUCCGAAUGGGGAAACCCAGUGUGUUUCGACACACUAUCAUUAACUGAAUCCAUAGGUUAAUGAGGCGAACCGGGGGAACUGAAACAUCUAAGUACCCCGAGGAAAAGAAAUCAACCGAGAUUCCCCCAGUAGCGGCGAGCGAACGGGGAGGAGCCCAGAGCCUGAAUCAGUGUGUGUGUUAGUGGAAGCGUCUGGAAAGGCGUGCGAUACAGGGUGACAGCCCCGUACACAAAAAUGCACAUAUUGUGAGCUCGAUGAGUAGGGCGGGACACGUGGUAUCCUGUCUGAAUAUGGGGGGACCAUCCUCCAAGGCUAAAUACUCCUGACUGACCGAUAGUGAACCAGUACCGUGAGGGAAAGGCGAAAAGAACCCCGGCGAGGGGAGUGAAAAAGAACCUGAAACCGUGUACGUACAAGCAGUGGGAGCCUCUUAAUGGGGUGACUGCGUACCUUUUGUAUAAUGGGUCAGCGACUUAUAUUCUGUAGCAAGGUUAACCGAAUAGGGGAGCCGAAGGGAAACCGAGUCUUAACUGGGCGUUAAGUUGCAGGGUAUAGACCCGAAACCCGGUGAUCUAGCCAUGGGCAGGUUGAAGGUUGGGUAACACUAACUGGAGGACCGAACCGACUAAUGUUGAAAAAUUAGCGGAUGACUUGUGGCUGGGGGUGAAAGGCCAAUCAAACCGGGAGAUAGCUGGUUCUCCCCGAAAGCUAUUUAGGUAGCGCCUCGUGAAUUCAUCUCCGGGGGUAGAGCACUGUUUCGGCAAGGGGGUCAUCCCGACUUACCAACCCGAUGCAAACUGCGAAUACCGGAGAAUGUUAUCACGGGAGACACACGGCGGGUGCUAACGUCCGUCGUGAAGAGGGAAACAACCCAGACCGCCAGCUAAGGUCCCAAAGUCAUGGUUAAGUGGGAAACGAUGUGGGAAGGCCCAGACAGCCAGGAUGUUGGCUUAGAAGCAGCCAUCAUUUAAAGAAAGCGUAAUAGCUCACUGGUCGAGUCGGCCUGCGCGGAAGAUGUAACGGGGCUAAACCAUGCACCGAAGCUGCGGCAGCGACACUAUGUGUUGUUGGGUAGGGGAGCGUUCUGUAAGCCUGUGAAGGUGGCCUGUGAGGGUUGCUGGAGGUAUCAGAAGUGCGAAUGCUGACAUAAGUAACGAUAAAGCGGGUGAAAAGCCCGCUCGCCGGAAGACCAAGGGUUCCUGUCCAACGUUAAUCGGGGCAGGGUGAGUCGACCCCUAAGGCGAGGCCGAAAGGCGUAGUCGAUGGGAAACAGGUUAAUAUUCCUGUACUUGGUGUUACUGCGAAGGGGGGACGGAGAAGGCUAUGUUGGCCGGGCGACGGUUGUCCCGGUUUAAGCGUGUAGGCUGGUUUUCCAGGCAAAUCCGGAAAACCAAGGCUGAGGCGUGAUGACGAGGCACUACGGUGCUGAAGCGACAAAUGCCCUGCUUCCAGGAAAAGCCUCUAAGCAUCAGGUAACAUCAAAUCGUACCCCAAACCGACACAGGUGGUCAGGUAGAGAAUACCAAGGCGCUUGAGAGAACUCGGGUGAAGGAACUAGGCAAAAUGGUGCCGUAACUUCGGGAGAAGGCACGCUGAUAUGUAGGUGAAGCGACUUGCUCGUGGAGCUGAAAUCAGUCGAAGAUACCAGCUGGCUGCAACUGUUUAUUAAAAACACAGCACUGUGCAAACACGAAAGUGGACGUAUACGGUGUGACGCCUGCCCGGUGCCGGAAGGUUAAUUGAUGGGGUUAGCGGCAACGCGAAGCUCUUGAUCGAAGCCCCGGUAAACGGCGGCCGUAACUAUAACGGUCCUAAGGUAGCGAAAUUCCUUGUCGGGUAAGUUCCGACCUGCACGAAUGGCGUAAUGAUGGCCAGGCUGUCUCCACCCGAGACUCAGUGAAAUUGAACUCGCUGUGAAGAUGCAGUGUACCCGCGGCAAGACGGAAAGACCCCGUGAACCUUUACUAUAGCUUGACACUGAACAUUGAGCCUUGAUGUGUAGGAUAGGUGGGAGGCUUUUGAAGUGUGGACGCCAGUCUGCAUGGAGCCGACCUUGAAAUACCACCCUUUAAUGUUUGAUGUUCUAACGUUGGCCCGUAAUCCGGGUUGCGGACAGUGUCUGGUGGGUAGUUUGACUGGGGCGGUCUCCUCCUAAAGAGUAACGGAGGAGCACGAAGGUUGGCUAAUCCUGGUCGGACAUCAGGAGGUUAGUGCAAUGGCAUAAGCCAGCUUGACUGCGAGCGUGACGGCGCGAGCAGGUGCGAAAGCAGGUCAUAGUGAUCCGGUGGUUCUGAAUGGAAGGGCCAUCGCUCAACGGAUAAAAGGUACUCCGGGGAUAACAGGCUGAUACCGCCCAAGAGUUCAUAUCGACGGCGGUGUUUGGCACCUCGAUGUCGGCUCAUCACAUCCUGGGGCUGAAGUAGGUCCCAAGGGUAUGGCUGUUCGCCAUUUAAAGUGGUACGCGAGCUGGGUUUAGAACGUCGUGAGACAGAUUUAAAGAAAGCGUAAUAGCUCACUGGUCGAGUCGGCCUGCGCGGAAGAUGUAACGGGGCUAAACCAUGCACCGAAGCUGCGGCAGCGACACUAUGUGUUGUUGGGUAGGGGAGCGUUCUGUAAGCCUGUGAAGGUGGCCUGUGAGGGUUGCUGGAGGUAUCAGAAGUGCGAAUGCUGACAUAAGUAACGAUAAAGCGGGUGAAAAGCCCGCUCGCCGGAAGACCAAGGGUUCCUGUCCAACGUUAAUCGGGGCAGGGUGAGUCGACCCCUAAGGCGAGGCCGAAAGGCGUAGUCGAUGGGAAACAGGUUAAUAUUCCUGUACUUGGUGUUACUGCGAAGGGGGGACGGAGAAGGCUAUGUUGGCCGGGCGACGGUUGUCCCGGUUUAAGCGUGUAGGCUGGUUUUCCAGGCAAAUCCGGAAAACCAAGGCUGAGGCGUGAUGACGAGGCACUACGGUGCUGAAGCGACAAAUGCCCUGCUUCCAGGAAAAGCCUCUAAGCAUCAGGUAACAUCAAAUCGUACCCCAAACCGACACAGGUGGUCAGGUAGAGAAUACCAAGGCGCUUGAGAGAACUCGGGUGAAGGAACUAGGCAAAAUGGUGCCGUAACUUCGGGAGAAGGCACGCUGAUAUGUAGGUGAAGCGACUUGCUCGUGGAGCUGAAAUCAGUCGAAGAUACCAGCUGGCUGCAACUGUUUAUUAAAAACACAGCACUGUGCAAACACGAAAGUGGACGUAUACGGUGUGACGCCUGCCCGGUGCCGGAAGGUUAAUUGAUGGGGUUAGCGGCAACGCGAAGCUCUUGAUCGAAGCCCCGGUAAACGGCGGCCGUAACUAUAACGGUCCUAAGGUAGCGAAAUUCCUUGUCGGGUAAGUUCCGACCUGCACGAAUGGCGUAAUGAUGGCCAGGCUGUCUCCACCCGAGACUCAGUGAAAUUGAACUCGCUGUGAAGAUGCAGUGUACCCGCGGCAAGACGGAAAGACCCCGUGAACCUUUACUAUAGCUUGACACUGAACAUUGAGCCUUGAUGUGUAGGAUAGGUGGGAGGCUUUUGAAGUGUGGACGCCAGUCUGCAUGGAGCCGACCUUGAAAUACCACCCUUUAAUGUUUGAUGUUCUAACGUUGGCCCGUAAUCCGGGUUGCGGACAGUGUCUGGUGGGUAGUUUGACUGGGGCGGUCUCCUCCUAAAGAGUAACGGAGGAGCACGAAGGUUGGCUAAUCCUGGUCGGACAUCAGGAGGUUAGUGCAAUGGCAUAAGCCAGCUUGACUGCGAGCGUGACGGCGCGAGCAGGUGCGAAAGCAGGUCAUAGUGAUCCGGUGGUUCUGAAUGGAAGGGCCAUCGCUCAACGGAUAAAAGGUACUCCGGGGAUAACAGGCUGAUACCGCCCAAGAGUUCAUAUCGACGGCGGUGUUUGGCACCUCGAUGUCGGCUCAUCACAUCCUGGGGCUGAAGUAGGUCCCAAGGGUAUGGCUGUUCGCCAUUUAAAGUGGUACGCGAGCUGGGUUUAGAACGUCGUGAGACAGUUCGGUCCCUAUCUGCCGUGGGCGCUGGAGAACUGAGGGGGGCUGCUCCUAGUACGAGAGGACCGGAGUGGACGCAUCACUGGUGUUCGGGUUGUCAUGCCAAUGGCACUGCCCGGUAGCUAAAUGCGGAAGAGAUAAGUGCUGAAAGCAUCUAAGCACGAAACUUGCCCCGAGAUGAGUUCUCCCUGACUCCUUGAGGGUCCUGAAGGAACGUUGAAGACGACGACGUUGAUAGGCCGGGUGUGUAAGCGCAGCGAUGCGUUGAGCUAACCGGUACUAAUGAACCGUGAGGCUUAACCUUACAACGCCGAAG
This 4452-nucleotide ribosomal RNA is filed under the name Escherichia coli Nissle 1917. RNAcentral describes it as "bacterial LSU rRNA". The stretch from base 10 to 2682 matches the Rfam family "Bacterial large subunit ribosomal RNA". The record is from RNAcentral. Lineage: Bacteria; Pseudomonadati; Pseudomonadota; Gammaproteobacteria; Enterobacterales; Enterobacteriaceae.